This 497-nucleotide ribosomal RNA is filed under the name uncultured bacterium. RNAcentral's name for it is "partial 16S ribosomal RNA". It matches the Rfam family "Bacterial small subunit ribosomal RNA", at positions 28 to 507 of the family's 1533-position model. The record is from RNAcentral.
GAUGAACGCUGGCGGCGUGCCUAAUACAUGCAAGUCGAGCGAACAGACGAGGAGCUUGCUCCUCUGACGUUAGCGGCGGACGGGUGAGUAACACGUGGAUAACCUACCUAUAAGACUGGGAUAACUUCGGGAAACCGGAGCUAAUACCGGAUAAUAUAUUGAACCGCAUGGUUCAAUAGUGAAAGACGGUUUUGCUGUCACUUAUAGAUGGAUCCGCGCCGCAUUAGCUAGUUGGUAAGGUAACGGCUUACCAAGGCAACGAUGCGUAGCCGACCUGAGAGGGUGAUCGGCCACACUUGAACUGAGACACGGUCCAGACUCCUACGGGAGGCAGCAGUAGGGAAUCUUCCGCAAUGGGCGAAAGCCUGACGGAGCAACGCCGCGUGAGUGAUGAAGGUCUUCGGAUCGUAAAACUCUGUUAUUAGGGAAGAACAAAUGUGUAAGUAACUACGCACGUCUUGACGGUACCUAAUCAGAAAGCCACGGCUAACUACGUG